This 430-nucleotide ribosomal RNA is filed under the name uncultured archaeon. Its description in RNAcentral is "bacterial SSU rRNA". It matches the Rfam family "Archaeal small subunit ribosomal RNA", at positions 474 to 903 of the family's 1478-position model. The record is from RNAcentral.
UACCAGCUCUCCGAGUGGUAGGGAUGAUUAUUGGGCUUAAAGCGUCCGUAGCCGGCUUAGCAAGUUUCCUGUUAAAUUCAGCGACCUAAUCGUUGAGCCGCGGGAAAUACUACUAGGCUAGGAGGCGGGAGAGGUCGACGGUACUUCUGGGGUAGGGGUGAAAUCCUAUAAUCCCGGGAGGGCCACCAGUGGCGAAGGCUGUCGACUAGAACGCGCUCGACGGUGAGGGACGAAAGCUGGGGGAGCGAACCGGAUUAGAUACCCGGGUAGUCCCAGCUGUAAACGAUGCGGGCUAGGUGUUGGGGUGGCUACGUGCCACUUCAGUGCCGCAGGGAAGCCAUUAAGCCCGCCGCCUGGGGAGUACGGCCGCAAGGCUAGAAACUUAAAGGAAUUGGGCGGGGAGCACCACAAGGCGUGAAGCUUGCGGUUC